This 253-nucleotide ribosomal RNA is filed under the name uncultured prokaryote. RNAcentral's name for it is "partial 16S ribosomal RNA". It matches the Rfam family "Bacterial small subunit ribosomal RNA", at positions 524 to 776 of the family's 1533-position model. The record is from RNAcentral.
UACAGAGGGUGCAAGCGUUAAUCGGAAUUACUGGGCGUAAAGCGCGCGUAGGUGGUUCGUUAAGUUGGAUGUGAAAUCCCCGGGCUCAACCUGGGAACUGCAUUCAAAACUGUCGAGCUAGAGUAUGGUAGAGGGUGGUGGAAUUUCCUGUGUAGCGGUGAAAUUCGUAGAUAUUGGGAAGAACACCAGUGGCGAAGGCGGCUCACUGGUCCGCAACUGACGCUGAGGCGCGAAAGCGUGGGGAGCAAACAGG